AGUAUUCGAGAUAGUGUGGAUUUAGUAUCCAUGAAGCGUACUGCACUUUGGCAUUUUGAAGACAUGGGACAGACUUGCACACUUACUUCCUGUCGCGCGCACGCUCUCUCAAGUGGCCAAGACCGCAAGUGUGGGUAUUUGGACAAGGGGAGAGUUUUCUGUGUACUGUUUGAUUUUUGGCCGUUUUACUCUCGUGGCGGAAAUGUACAGUCUCUUGUUCUUUCAUUUUGUUUUGUUUUUUACAUAAUUUACACAACGUGCUUAAAUAAACCAAUAUUUAGCUACCAAAGAUGUAAGACGUAGUUUGAUCCGCGUCUGAUUCGUGUGUUUAACCCGUUGCUAUGGCGACGGAAUGGCUGAGUUCGCGCAGAUCGACGUUCUGCGAAAGCAGAACAAAUAUUUACUGGAUAAACUCGAGAAACAAACUGAGUCUGACACACUGCGUCAGCUGACACUCUCGUGUCCGGAUAAGGUGGACGAAAGUUACAGCUCGGUGUGCGAAGAAAGCGGACCGCAUCGAGUGUCUUUAACGGAGCGAAACGGAGCGCAGCCGCCGCGUGCUGGAGCUUCACCAUCGACACCAAAAACCGUCAAAAAAUCCGACGAACAGCAUCCUAGAGAUUGUGAAGACCCCACACUGGACCACCAUAAACCCAAACCCAGCCAAAGCUCAGAACUGAGCACCAACAGCACACUACUGGAAGACGUAGCGAACUGUCGCUGGAAGGGGCAGAGCAGAUCUGUGAGACUGAUGCUGCCCAAAUCUGUAGCUCGCACCCCCUGUGACCAGGCCUACUGGAUGCUGAAAGCUCUCUUGAAGAUCGUUCGGAGCAGUUAUUCUUCCAUCAGACCAAUCGAGACGAGUGCGUCCACAGCUUGUUAUCAGGAUUUCCAUCUGUUGCUGAUCUUGCAUCUUCCACGCUUGGCAGUGAAGAGCCGCAGACACCUGCAGACACGCAUCAGUGCACAUUCUGCUACAUAA
RNAcentral lists this long non-coding RNA (982 nucleotides) under Sinocyclocheilus anshuiensis. RNAcentral's name for it is "lncRNA (ENSSANG00000015776.1)". The record is from RNAcentral. Lineage: Eukaryota; Metazoa; Chordata; Actinopteri; Cypriniformes; Cyprinidae.